AGCGAACGCUGGCGGCAGGCCUAACACAUGCAAGUCGAACGAACCUUUCGGGGUUAGUGGCGGACGGGUGAGUAACACGUGGGAACGUGCCUUUAGGUUCGGAAUAACUCAGGGAAACUUGUGCUAAUACCGAAUGUGCCCUUCGGGGGAAAGAUUUAUCGCCUUUAGAGCGGCCCGGGUCUGAUUAGCUAGUUGGUUGGGGUAAUGGCUCACCAAGGCGACGUUCAGUAGCUGGUCGGUGCGGAUGAUCAGCCACAUUGGGACUGAGACACGGCCCAAACUCCUACGGGAGGCAGCAGUGGGGAAUCUUGCGCAAUGGGCGAAAGCCUGACGCAGCCAUGCCGCGUGAAUGAUGAAGGUCUUAGGAUUGUAAAAUUCUUUCACCGGGGACGAUAAUGACGGUACCCGGAGAAGAAGCCCCGGCUAACUUCGUG
This 434-nucleotide ribosomal RNA is filed under the name uncultured bacterium. Its description in RNAcentral is "partial 16S ribosomal RNA". It matches the Rfam family "Bacterial small subunit ribosomal RNA", at positions 29 to 507 of the family's 1533-position model. The record is from RNAcentral.